Molecule: ribosomal RNA, 461 nt
Filed under: uncultured bacterium
Lineage: Bacteria
Description: SSU rRNA
Rfam family: Bacterial small subunit ribosomal RNA
Source: RNAcentral
AGAACGAACGCUGGCGGCAUGCCUAACACAUGCAAGUCGGACGCUUCAUGGGUUUCGGCUCAUGGGGAGUGGCGCACGGGUGAGUAGCGCGUGGGAACCUGUCCUUUAGUGGGGGAUAACCGAGGGAAACUUCGGCUAAUACCGCAUGCGCCCGGGGCGACCUUGGGGAAGAUUUAUCGCUGAGGGAGGGCCCGCGUCGGAUUAGGUAGUUGGUGGGGUAACGGCCCACCAAGCCUGUGAUCCGUAGCUGGUCUGAGAGGAUGAUCAGCCACACUGGGACUGAGACACGGCCCAGACUCCUACGGGAGGACAGCAGUGGGGAAUAUUGGACAAUGGGCGCAAGCCUGAUCCAGCAAUGCCGCGUGAGUGAUGAAGGCCUUCGGGUUGUAAAGCUCUUUGGGCGGGACGAUGAUGACGGUACCCGCAGAACAAGCCCCGGCUAACUUCGUGCCAGCAGCCGC